GGCGUAGAGGGCUCGCAGGCGGUUUCUUAAGUCUGAUGUGAAAGCCCCCGGCUCAACCGGGGAGGGUCAUUGGAAACUGGGGAACUUGAGUGCAGAAGAGGAGAGUGGAAUUCCACGUGUAGCGGUGAAAUGCGUAGAGAUGUGGAGGAACACCAGUGGCGAAGGCGACUCUCUGGUCUGUAACUGACGCUGAGGAGCGAAAGCGUGGGGAGCGAACAGGAUUAGAUACCCUGGUAGUCCACGCCGUAAACGAUGAGUGCUAAGUGUUAGGGGGUUUCCGCCCCUUAGUGCUGCAGCUAACGCAUUAAGCACUCCGCCUGGGGAGUACGGUCGCAAGACUGAAACUCAAAGGAAUUGACGGGGGCCCGCACAAGCGGUGGAGCAUGUGGUUUAAUUCGAAGCAACGCGAAGAACCUUACCAGGUCUUGACAUCCUCUGACACUCCUAGAGAUAGGACGUCCCCUUCGGGGGCAGAGUGACAGGUGGUGCAUGGUUGUCGUCAGCUCGUGUCGUGAGAUGUUGGGUUAAGUCCCGCAACGAGCGCAACCCUUGAUCUUAGUUGCCAGCAUUCAGUUGGGCACUCUAAGGUGACUGCCGGUGACAAACCGGAGGAAGGUGGGGAUGACGUCAAAUCAUCAUGCCCCUUAUGACCUGGGCUACACACGUGCUACAAUGGACAGAACAAAGGGCAGCGAAACCGCGAGGUUAAGCCAAUCCCACAAAUCUGUUCUCAGUUCGGAUCGCAGUCUGCAACUCGACUGCGUGAAGCUGGAAUCGCUAGUAAUCGCGGAUCAGCAUGCCGCGGUG
RNAcentral lists this ribosomal RNA (807 nucleotides) under Bacillus subtilis. Its description in RNAcentral is "bacterial SSU rRNA". It matches the Rfam family "Bacterial small subunit ribosomal RNA", at positions 557 to 1364 of the family's 1533-position model. The record is from RNAcentral. Lineage: Bacteria; Bacillati; Bacillota; Bacilli; Caryophanales; Bacillaceae.